ACUCCUACGGGAGGCAGCAGUGAGGAAUAUUGGACAAUGGAUGGAAAUCUGAUCCAGCCAUGCCGCGUGCAGGAAGACGGCCUUAUGGGUUGUAAACUGCUUUUAUACGGGAGCAAUAAGGGUUACGAGUAAUCCGAUGAGAGUACUGUAUGAAUAAGGAUCGGCUAACUCCGUGCCAGCAGCCGCGGUAAUACGGAGGAUCCGAGCGUUAUCCGGAAUUAUUGGGUUUAAAGGGUGCGUAGGCGGCCAUUUAAGUCAGCGGUGAAAUUUUGCAGCUUAACUGUAACAGUGCCGUUGAUACUGUUUGGCUAGGAUUUGGUUGUAGUGUGCGGAAUGUGUGGUGUAGCGGUGAAAUGCUUAGAUAUCACACAGAACACCGAUUGCGAAGGCAGCACACUAAGUCAUUAUUGACGCUGAGGCACGAAAGUGUGGGGAUCAAACAGGAUUAGAUACCCUGGUAGUC
RNAcentral lists this ribosomal RNA (463 nucleotides) under uncultured bacterium. Its description in RNAcentral is "bacterial SSU rRNA". It matches the Rfam family "Bacterial small subunit ribosomal RNA", at positions 335 to 795 of the family's 1533-position model. The record is from RNAcentral.